This 489-nucleotide ribosomal RNA is filed under the name uncultured bacterium. RNAcentral describes it as "bacterial SSU rRNA". It matches the Rfam family "Bacterial small subunit ribosomal RNA", at positions 28 to 534 of the family's 1533-position model. The record is from RNAcentral.
GAUGAACGCUGGCGGCGUGCCUAAUACAUGCAAGUCGAACGGACAUUCAGCAAUGGAUGUUAGUGGCGAACGGGUGAGUAACGCGUUGGUGACCUGCCCCGAAGCGGGGGACAACAGCUCGAAAGGGCUGCUAAUACCCCAUAAUGUCUCUCUAGUUAGAGAAGGGAGAAGGAAGGCCUGAAAGGGUCGCUUUGGGAGGGACCUGCGUCCCAUCAGCUAGUUGGUGAGGUAACGGCCCACCAAGGCGAUGACGGGUAGGGGACCUGAGAGGGUGACCCCCCACAAUGGAACUGAAACACGGUCCAUACACCUACGGGUGGCAGCAGUAGGGAAUAUUGCAUAAUGGGCGAAAGCCUGAUGCAGCAACGCCGCGUGCGCGAUGAAGGUCUUCGGAUCGUAAAGCGCUUUUCAGAGGGAUGAGGAAGGACAGUACCUCUGGAAUAAGUCUCGGCUAACUACGUGCCAGCAGCCGCGGUAAGAGUCACGUCG